Molecule: long non-coding RNA, 286 nt
Filed under: Mytilus galloprovincialis (Mediterranean mussel)
Lineage: Eukaryota; Metazoa; Mollusca; Bivalvia; Mytilida; Mytilidae
Source: RNAcentral
CCCGCUAACAUGUUUAACCCCGCCACAUUAUUUAUGUAUGUGCCUGUCCCAAGUCAGGAGCUUGUAAUUCAGUGGUUGUCGUUUGUUUAUGUGUUACAUAUUUGUUUUUCGUUCAUUUUUUUUACAUAAAUAAGGCCGUUAGUUUUCUCGUUUGAAUUGUUUUACAUUGUCUUAUCGGGGCCUAUUGUAGCUGACUAUGCGGUAUGGGCUUUGCUCAUUGUUGAAGGCCGUACGGUGACCUAUAGUUGUUAAUUUCUGUGUCAUUUUGGUCUUUUGUGGAUAGUUG